GGAGGAAAGAAACCAACAGGGAUUGCCUCAGUAACGGCGAGUGAAGCGGCAAAAGCUCAAAUUUGAAACCCUCGGGAUUGUAAUUUGAAGAUUUGGCAUUGGAGAAAGCUAACCCAAGUUGCUUGGAAUAGUACGUCAUAGAGGGUGACAACCCCGUCUGGCUAACCGUUCUCCAUGUAUUGCCUUAUCAAAGAGUCGAGUUGUUUGGGAAUGCAGCUCAAAGUGGGUGGUAAACUCCAUCUAAAGCUAAAUACUGGUGAGAGACCGAUAGCGAACAAGUACUGUGAAGGAAAGGUGAAAAGAACUUUGAAAAGAGAGUGAAAUAGUAUGUGAAAUUGUUGAUAGGGAAGGAAAUGAGUGGAGAGUGGCCGAGGUUUCAGCCGCCCCUCGUGGGCGGUGUACUGCCGACGCCGAGUCAUCGAUAGCGAGACGAGGGUUACAAAUGGGAGCGCCUUUCGGGCGUUCUCCCCUAACCCUCCACACUGCCACCGACGACAUAA
Molecule: ribosomal RNA, 500 nt
Filed under: Yarrowia lipolytica
Lineage: Eukaryota; Fungi; Ascomycota; Dipodascomycetes; Dipodascales
Description: eukaryotic LSU rRNA
Rfam family: Eukaryotic large subunit ribosomal RNA
Source: RNAcentral